RNAcentral lists this ribosomal RNA (250 nucleotides) under uncultured bacterium. Its description in RNAcentral is "partial 16S ribosomal RNA". It matches the Rfam family "Bacterial small subunit ribosomal RNA", at positions 524 to 773 of the family's 1533-position model. The record is from RNAcentral.
AACGUAGGAGGCGAGCGUUAUCCGGAUUCACUGGGCGUAAAGCGCGUGUAGGUGGAUCGCCAAGUCGAAUGUGAAAGCCCCUGGCUCAACUGGGGGAGGUCAUUCGAUACUGGCGGACUUGAGGGCAGGAGAGGAGAGUGGAACUCCCGGUGUAGCGGUGGAAUGCGUAGAGAUCGGGAAGAACACCAGUGGCGAAGGCGACUCUCUGGCCUGCUCCUGACACUGAGACGCGAAAGUGUGGGUAGCAAAC